AUUGAACGCUGGCGGCAGGCCUAACACAUGCAAGUCGAACGGUAACAGGAAACAGCUUGCUGUUUCGCUGACGAGUGGCGGACGGGUGAGUAAUGUCUGGGAAACUGCCUGAUGGAGGGGGAUAACUACUGGAAACGGUAGCUAAUACCGCAUAACGUCGCAAGACCAAAGAGGGGGACCUUCGGGCCUCUUUCCAUCAGAUGUGCCCAGAUGGGAUUAGCUAGUAGGUGGGGUAACGGCUCACCUAGGCGACGAUCCCUAGCUGGUCUGAGAGGAUGACCAGCCACACUGGAACUGAGACACGGUCCAGACUCCUACGGGAGGCAGCAGUGGGGAAUAUUGCACAAUGGGCGCAAGCCUGAUGCAGCCAUGCCGCGUGUAUGAAGAAGGCCUUCGGGUUGUAAAGUACUUUCAGCGGGGAGGAAGGGAGUAAAGUUAAUACCUUUGCUCAUUGACGUUACCCGCAGAAGAAGCACCGGCUAACUCCGUG
This 490-nucleotide ribosomal RNA is filed under the name uncultured bacterium. RNAcentral describes it as "partial 16S ribosomal RNA". It matches the Rfam family "Bacterial small subunit ribosomal RNA", at positions 30 to 507 of the family's 1533-position model. The record is from RNAcentral.